RNAcentral lists this microRNA (24 nucleotides) under Gallus gallus (chicken). Its description in RNAcentral is "microRNA Ros-gga". Lineage: Eukaryota; Metazoa; Chordata; Aves; Galliformes; Phasianidae. The record is from RNAcentral.
CGUAGGAGGGGAGGCACGGCGGUC